UACGGGGGGUGCGAGCGUUGUCCGGAAUCACUGGGCGUAAAGGGCGCGUAGGUGGUCUGAUAAGUGUGUGGUGAAAGCCCGGGGCUCAACCCCGGGUCGGCCGUGCCGACUGUUAGACUAGAGUGCUGUAGGGGCAGGCGGAAUUCCGGGUGUAGCGGUGGAAUGCGUAGAUAUCUGGAGGAAUACCGGUGGCGAAGGCGGCAUCCUGGACCGGCAUUGACGCUGAGGAGCGAAAGCCAGGGGAGCAAACGGG
RNAcentral lists this ribosomal RNA (253 nucleotides) under uncultured bacterium. RNAcentral's name for it is "partial 16S ribosomal RNA". It matches the Rfam family "Bacterial small subunit ribosomal RNA", at positions 524 to 776 of the family's 1533-position model. The record is from RNAcentral.